CACACAUGACCAAGUAACAUAUAUUGUAUAUAGCACAACUUUCAAAAUAUCAGAAGAGUUGCAUCAGAAUUACAUUGAUCAUGAUGAACAGUCUAGGAAGUUUAAAAUGCAAAAAAAAUUAACUAAGAUAUAAUGGUCCAAGCAUUAUGCAUAAGCUAGAUUGACCAAAACCCCAUGAUUUCACUUUGUUGAACAUCUUGAAGAAAGAUCACUAGACUCGUCACCCUUCAUCACCAUAUGCAUCAUAAUGCUCAUCGCCAAAUAGAUCAUAACAAUCAUCGCCAUAGACAUCAUCACCCUUGCCAUAGAUCACGAUUCUUCAGCACCGUCUCCCAUUCCUAACAAAUGAUUAGACUAGAUGUAAGGGAGAUGAAAAUGACAUACUAUAGUUGAAAUUUAAUUGAGGAUACAAAAAAAGGAACUUAGAUGUUCUAAUUGACUGGUUAGAUAUCUAAUAGUAUGACUACGUACUCACCUUUUGGUCCUUCACAUGCAAUUUUCAGGGUUACAUGAAUCAGCAGGAACGCAACUCCAAAUAAUAGACUGGGUACUACACAUUGCUCUGUGUACAAAAGGAAUAUACCAAUAAACUGCACUAAUGUCAAUUUCAUUAUAAGUUUGCAAUAGUUCAGAACACAUCAUGCUUUUCAAAUUACUUGUAACAUUAAUAUAAUUCGAACCACAUGACAUUUUUUAAUUAACUGUAACAAUCCUAUGUCCAGAACCCGCAUGUACUAUGGUUACACCAAGAUGGCCAUGUGAUACAGGUAAAAAAACUUAUCUGAAAGACACAUAUGUCGUGUCGAUAAUCGAUUCAUUGGCUUGUUGAAGUUGUAAAAUGAUAACCAAGUACAAAUGUACAACAGACAUCUGCAACCCCACUGAAGUAUAUAUACUAGCGCUUACAUUUUGCAGUCUGAUGACACAACAGAAGCAGUACACUAGCAUAACACUAUUGGCUAGUUUGGGCAUACAAUAAACACAAAAAACAGAUUAAGAAUGUCAUGUAAAGAAAGAUAUAAAUAUAGUUUUUCAUUCAAACAAAUUAAAUAGCAGUAGAACACUAAUUUCCACCAACAAUAGUUUAGGUUAUAUUGUGCAUACCAAAUUAAGAAACUUCUUAUGUUUCGUAUGACAGGUCACAAUCAUUCUUCAUGUUAAGCUACCAUUAUUUCUGUAUGCACUUCCAAAAAAAUUCAAUACUGUCCACUUUUUUAGAUAAACAGAGAGGCGCCUCCCUGGUUCCAUUACUAAAAUGAAACCAAGUUUGCUGGACAUUCUCAAAAGCAUCAAGGUCUGGAAAGCUGAAGACCAAAAGAGGCAAAGCUAGUACAGGGAAAAACAAAAGCUAGAAAGGAGGACGCCUGACAAGGGUCAAACAUGCCAGAUCAUAUUGUCUAAUGUUGAAAUAUUUUUCUCUAUGCAAAUGAUUUUACUGUAAUUGAUUAUAGCAACAUCUUUUCCUAUAUGAGUUCAACCAAAUUGUGCCAUCGCACCUUAAUUAAGAUGGAUUUAAUAGAUAGAUAUCUCAGUUAUGAGCCACAUCUGGGAAAAUAGGGCAUAAUCAGGUGCAUACAUCAUAUAUAGUACAACAGUACCACGUAGGCAAUGAGGUAAGCUAAGAAAUCAGGCUCAAAUAAAAAGAGCAUGUCUCAAAGCAUGUUAUCCGCAGCAUGCUCAUGUUGUCCAGAACUAAAUUGGCGCAUAACUAAAUGGGUAAGACAUGAUGUACUAACCUUUUCAGUUAGUCUUGACGAGCAUCAUCUCACCCCCUUUCAAAGCCGCCUUCAGAAUCUGAUGUGGCCUGUAUUUAUCAAACUGUAAGAACCCCUGCUCUACAUCUUUGAGAAAGAACAGACGGGACA
This 1865-nucleotide long non-coding RNA is filed under the name Triticum aestivum (bread wheat). RNAcentral describes it as "long non-coding RNA (TAES_LNC010720)". The record is from RNAcentral. Lineage: Eukaryota; Viridiplantae; Streptophyta; Magnoliopsida; Poales; Poaceae.